GACGAGCGCUGGCGGCGUGCUUAACACAUGCAAGUCGAACGGAAAGGCCCUGCUUUUGUGGGGUGCUCGAUUGGCGAACGGGUGAGUAACACGUGAGUAACCUGCCCUUGACUUUGGGAUAACUUCAGGAAACUGGGGCUAAUACCGGAUAGGAGCUCCUGCUGCAUGGUGGGGGUUGGAAAGUUUCGGCGGUUGGGGAUGGACUCGCGGCUUAUCAGCUUGUUGGUGGGGUAGUGGCUUACCAAGGCUUUGACGGGUAGCCGGCCUGGGAGGGUGACCGGCCACAUUGGGACUGAGAUACGGCCCAGAAUCCUACGGGAGGCAGCAGUGGGGAAUAUUGCACAAUGGGCGGAAGCCUGAUGCAGCAACGCCGCGUGCGGGAUGACGGCCUUCGGGUUGUAAACCGCUUUCGCCUGUGACGAAGCGUGAGUGACGGUAAUGGGUAAAGAAGCACCGGCUAACUACGUG
Molecule: ribosomal RNA, 468 nt
Filed under: uncultured bacterium
Lineage: Bacteria
Description: partial 16S ribosomal RNA
Rfam family: Bacterial small subunit ribosomal RNA
Source: RNAcentral